AGUGAACGCUGGCGGUAGGCCUAACACAUGCAAGUCGAACGGUAGCACAGUAAGAGCUUGCUCUUACGGGUGGCGAGUGGCGGACGGGUGAGGAAUACAUCGGAAUCUACUUUUUCGUGGGGGAUAACGUAGGGAAACUUACGCUAAUACCGCAUACGACCUACGGGUGAAAGCAGGGGAUCUUCGGACCUUGCGCGAUUGAAUGAGCCGAUGUCGGAUUAGCUAGUUGGCGGGGUAAAGGCCCACCAAGGCGACGAUCCGUAGCUGGUCUGAGAGGAUGAUCAGCCACACUGGAACUUAGACACGGUCCAGACUCCUACGGGAGGCAGCAGUGGGGAAUAUUGGACAAUGGGCGCAAGCCUGAUCCAGCCAUACCGCGUGGGUGAAGAAGGCCUUCGGGUUGUAAAGCCCUUUUGUUGGGAAAGAAAAGCAGCAGGUUAAUACCCCGCUGUUCUGACGGUACCCAAAGAAUAAGCACCGGCUAACUUCGUG
This 492-nucleotide ribosomal RNA is filed under the name uncultured bacterium. RNAcentral's name for it is "partial 16S ribosomal RNA". It matches the Rfam family "Bacterial small subunit ribosomal RNA", at positions 29 to 507 of the family's 1533-position model. The record is from RNAcentral.